This 789-nucleotide ribosomal RNA is filed under the name uncultured bacterium. RNAcentral's name for it is "bacterial SSU rRNA". It matches the Rfam family "Bacterial small subunit ribosomal RNA", at positions 8 to 794 of the family's 1533-position model. The record is from RNAcentral.
AGAGUUUGAUCCUGGCUCAGGACGAACGCUGGCGGCGUGCCUAACACAUGCAAGUCGAACGGAACUGUUUUGAAAGAUUUCUUCGGAAUGAAUUUGAUUUAGUUUAGUGGCGGACGGGUGAGUAACGCGUGAGUAACCUGCCUUCAAGAGGGGGAUAACAUUCUGAAAAGAAUGCUAAUACCGCAUGACAUAUCGGAACCACAUGGUUUUGAUAUCAAAGAUUUUAUCGCUUGAAGAUGGACUCGCGUCCGAUUAGUUAGUUGGUGAGGUAACGGCUCACCAAGACCGCGAUCGGUAGCCGGACUGAGAGGUUGAACGGCCACAUUGGGACUGAGACACGGCCCAGACUCCUACGGGAGGCAGCAGUGGGGGAUAUUGCGCAAUGGGGGCAACCCUGACGCAGCAACGCCGCGUGAAGGAUGAAGGUUUUCGGAUUGUAAACUUCUUUUAUUAAGGACGAAAAUUGACGGUACUUAAUGAAUAAGCUCCGGCUAACUACGUGCCAGCAGCCGCGGUAAUACGUAGGGAGCAAGCGUUGUCCGGAUUUACUGGGUGUAAAGGGUGCGUAGGCGGCUUUGCAAGUCAGAUGUGAAAUCUAUGGGCUCAACCCAUAAACUGCAUUUGAAACUGUAGAGCUUGAGUGAAGUAGAGGCAGGCGGAAUUCCCCGUGUAGCGGUGAAAUGCGUAGAGAUGGGGAGGAACACCAGUGGCGAAGGCGGCCUGCUGGGCUUUAACUGACGCUGAGGCACGAAAGCGUGGGUAGCAAACAGGAUUAGAUACCCUGGUAGU